Molecule: long non-coding RNA, 735 nt
Organism: Carassius gibelio (silver crucian carp)
Lineage: Eukaryota; Metazoa; Chordata; Actinopteri; Cypriniformes; Cyprinidae
Exons: 2
Source: RefSeq, a predicted model, not a curated record
GAUUGAUGCAAGGGAUGCGGCUGUUCUGCAGAGAGCACGAGAAAGGGAGGAGACGGAUGGGAGGGAAUGAGAGAAAGAGGAUAGGGAGGCGCUACUUCACAUUCCAUCUGCAGGUCAUUAUAUUUUAUGGCCCAAACUGGGUCACCGUGGCCACCAGAUCCAGUCUGUAUCCAGAUCAGAGGGUCACUGCAGUCGCCCGGAUCCAGUACGUAUCCAGACAUGAUGGUGGAUCAGCACCUAGAAAGGACCUCUACUGCCCUGAAAGACAGCGGAGACCAGGACAACUAGAGCCCCAGAUACAGAUCCCCUGUAAAGACCUUGUCUCAGAUGACCACCAGGACAAGACCACAGGAAACAGAUGAUUCUUCUGCCUAAUCUGACUUUGCUGCAGCCUGGAAUUGAUAUACUGGUUUCGUCUGGUCAGAGGAGAACUGGCCCCCCAACUGAGCCUGGUUUCUCCCAAGGUUUUUUUCUCCAUUCUGUCACCGAUGGUGUUUCGGUUCCUUGCUGCUGUCACCUCUGGCUUGCUUAGUUGGGGUCACUUCAUCUACAGCGAUAUCAUUGACUUGAUUGCAAAUAAAUGCACAGACACUAUGUAAACUGAACAGAGAUGACAUAACUGAAUUCAAUGGUGAACUGCCUUUAUCUAUCAUUUUGCAUUAUUGACACUGUUUUCCGAAUGAAUGUUGUUCAGUUGCUUUGACGCUAUAUAAAUAAAGGUGAUUUAUUGAUUGA